UUUAAAGAAGAAGAUAUUGUGAAAUCGCGGAAGAUUGAUUAUUCAGGUGGAAUAAUCAAAGAAUAUGAAUUGAAACGAUGGACCCUAUUGCCAAAUGCUGUACCAGUUAACCUACAGCCAAGACAAUAUGAUAUUGAAGUAAAGUUUUAUAGAAAAUUUCAUUGACUUUCAAAGAUAUUACAAACUUUGUACUAACUUUAAAUGUAGCUUUCAGAAAAUCAAGAAAACCUGCACUAUCAAACGGUUAAAAUAAUAAAUGACGAUAAAUUUUCAAAGAAGCCAACCAUCAAUGUGCGAAAGCCUUUUCAACAGUUGGACAAUCGUAUUAACAUUAGAAAAAAACCAGCGUCAACAUCAA
Molecule: long non-coding RNA, 358 nt
Organism: Diorhabda carinulata
Lineage: Eukaryota; Metazoa; Arthropoda; Insecta; Coleoptera; Chrysomelidae
Exons: 2
Source: RefSeq, a predicted model, not a curated record